Long non-coding RNA from Homo sapiens (human), 2256 nucleotides. Ensembl annotates it as MAP3K9 divergent transcript. Its record names the gene MAP3K9-DT. NCBI's taxonomy places the organism in Eukaryota, Metazoa, Chordata, Mammalia, Primates, Hominidae. The record is from Ensembl.
AAACUAAAAGGCUGGAAGGGAGGCAGCUGCCUUUGUUUGCCAUGGAUGGGUAGGGGCUGCACUGAGCAGCACCGGUGUUCUUCAUCCGGCUGCACCCCCAACAGAGCUCUUUCUUCCCCAGAUCCCUUUUACAGUUGGAUUCUCCCUCUUGGAUCUGGCUCUGCCUUAGUCCGACCUAGAGGGAUCAGCUUCGCCCACGCCCACUCUCACCCGGAACCUUUCAUCUCUUAUUGAAGCCUUUUAGGCCCAUUGGGAUGUUCAUUAGAACUCUGAAAACUACAGUUCUCCCCUUUAUGAGGACUGCACCACAGCUCGCCCUCUCCUGGGUUCCGGUAAGAAGAGAUUCCAAUACCACUCUUUUUUCAGAAUUCAGAAAGGCAAGAGACCACCUUACUGAGCUUCAAACUGGGGCUGGGAACGCUGCCAUGAAUUGGGCUUGGUCUGUCUGAAGGGAGCCACCUUUUCGACAAUCCUUAGACUUCUUUUGCCUGUUGGAAUUACACCUUGGAUCGUGGCGAAGUCUAUAGAGGUCAGAUUAAGAAGAACCAAAGCAGAAUAAACGUAGAACCCGAUGCUGAGUUCACGAGUGAGGACGACCUCUUCCUAUAUGCUUUGCUAUACCCUGCGUUUUGAACAUUAAGGACGAGAUAGGAGGCCCAUAAUGUUUCUUCUUGCUUUAAUCCUGUCGUGGCAACGUUGACUUCCAAAACAAGGUCUCACUGUGUCACCCAGGCUGGAGAGCAGUGGCACGAUCAUAGCUCACUGAUCACAUGGCAGCCUCAAACUCCUGGACUCAGUGGGUCCUCCUGCCUCAGCAUCCUGAGUAGCUGGGACUACAGGUGCGUGCCACCACACCUGGCAAAUUUUGUUAAUUUUUGGUAGAGAUAAGGACUCACUGUGUUGCCCAGGCUGGCUUCAAACUCUUGGCCUCAAGUGAUCCUCCUGCCUCCAUCUCUUCAAAUGCUGGGAUUACAGGUUUGAGCCACCGUGCCUGGCCCCUUUGACCUUUUCUAAAAGAGCCAGCCCACCACUUUCACCUCUCAUGUGUACCAUUUCAGGAAAGAAGCCCUAGUUCCUGUUUCAUAAACUCCAUUUGCAUUAAAUAUGAUUUUAGGCAAAUGGUUUGGGCAGAUAUGUGGCAGGGCUGAUGGAACAGACCUGUGGAGUCAGACCCAGACAAGUCUUGAUCAACUUGUCAUGACUGUGGGAGGCCUUUCACCUCUCUGAGCCUCUGUUUCAUUGUUGGUAACAUGAGAUUGUAUAAAAUGGGGUUGCUGUGAAGGUUAGAUGAAGUAAGAGGUCCUCCUGGCAGUGCCUAAUACAUAAUAAUAAGUGCUUAAUAAAUUGUAAAUGUUAUUACAGUUGAUAGUAUUUAAUUCCUCUAUGAGGAAUUAUGAGUUAAUGUAGCUUGAACCACCAAAAAGGUAAGAAAUCUUUCCUCUUUUAGGAAAACCUCAGUUCAGAAAAGCAAUAAACUAUGGGGGGGGUGGCUGUUUAGAAUGUUGCAUCUCUGGAGAGCAAGUUGCAUUUUAACAAUGAUCAGAGCCUUUAAUUAAGGAGUGAAGGUCAAAUCAUUUCUGCUUCAUCCAGCCUGGUUGCAGAGUGAGCCCAUGGGACAGCCCUCUGAAAUUAUACUGCUUACAACCAUGCUGAGUCUGCAAGGACUUCGUCCAAGCCUUUCCGUCCAGGACCUCAAACAGAUCCAAUCACAAGAAGAGAGAUUUCAGGAAAGAGAAAAUUAUUCCUAUCAUCGGGGUUUUUGAAGAACAUGAAAUGACUGGGAAAAUAAUCAUGUUAAGUGGAAAAAAAAAAGAAAUCUAUCUGUUGUAAUUUUCAAAUAAUUUUUAAAUAAAUUUGAAAAAUUAAGAGAACUAUAUAUAUAAUACAUUCCUAAUCUUGUGAAAAAUAUAUAUGCAUUAAUAUUAUUGAAAGAAAUAUAUCAAAAGGUGAACAGCAAUUAUCACCAAUCUAGAUUAUGAGAUUAGGAGUGAUUUUUUUUCUUUGUCCUAUACUAUUUAAUAUUUUCUACCAUUAAAAUAUUCUGAUUUUCUAAUUAGAAUAGUACGUUAGACAAAGAAGGACAAAUAUCACAUGAACUCUCACUCUCUUAUGGAACAGAUCUUGUGGAAUCUAAAAAAGUUGAACUCAUAGAAAAAGAGGAAAAUGAUGGUUACCAGUUAGAAAAAAGGAAUAAGUUCAAGAGAUCUAUUGUACACCAUGGUCAAUAUAGUUAACAAUAUAUUUUAUACUUUAAAA